CCUACGGGGGGCAGCAGUGGGGAAUAUUGGGCAAUGGGCGCAAGCCUGACCCAGCAACGCCGCGUGAAGGAAGAAGGCUUUCGGGUUGUAAACUUCUUUUGACAGGGAAGAGCAGAAGACGGUACCUGUCGAAUAAGCCACGGCUAACUACGUGCCAGCAGCCGCGGUAAUUCGUAGGUGGCAAGCGUUGUCCGGAUUUCCUGGGGGUAAAGGGCGUGUAGCCGGGCUGACAAGUCAGAUGGGAAAUCCGGGGGCUGAACCCCCGAACUGCCUUUGAAACUGUUGGUCCUGAGUAUCGGAAGGGCAGGCGGAAGUCCGAGGUGAGGGGGUGAAUGGGGAGGUAUUAGGAGGAA
Molecule: ribosomal RNA, 353 nt
Filed under: uncultured bacterium
Lineage: Bacteria
Description: partial 16S ribosomal RNA
Rfam family: Bacterial small subunit ribosomal RNA
Source: RNAcentral